UGAUCCUAAGAGAAAACGGUGGUUUCCUCUUAUUUUUAUGUUUUCUCCACGUAUGUGGAGG
RNAcentral lists this small RNA (61 nucleotides) under Lactobacillus acidophilus. Its description in RNAcentral is "crRNA_01". The record is from RNAcentral. Lineage: Bacteria; Bacillati; Bacillota; Bacilli; Lactobacillales; Lactobacillaceae.